This 137-nucleotide non-coding RNA is filed under the name Gordonia sputi. Lineage: Bacteria; Bacillati; Actinomycetota; Actinomycetes; Mycobacteriales; Gordoniaceae. The record is from RNAcentral.
GUCUUGUGGGAGGAGUAUCGUGCUGCCAGACGUUCCUGCGGGAAAUCCGGUGUGAAUCCGGAGCGGUCGCGCCACUGUGAGUCCAUCCGACCAGGUCGGAGGGCGAGUCAGGACGCCGCCGGACGUCGGGAAUGUGC